RNAcentral lists this transfer RNA (77 nucleotides) under Billgrantia gudaonensis. RNAcentral's name for it is "Halomonas gudaonensis tRNA-OTHER". The stretch from base 3 to 71 matches the Rfam family "tRNA". From Rfam's summary of the family: Transfer RNA (tRNA) molecules are approximately 80 nucleotides in length. The record is from RNAcentral. Lineage: Bacteria; Pseudomonadati; Pseudomonadota; Gammaproteobacteria; Oceanospirillales; Halomonadaceae.
GUGGAUGUAGCUCAGUGGUAGAGCCCCGGAUUGUGGCCCGGUGGUCGUGGGUUCGAUCCCCACAUCAUCCCACCCCA